GACGAACGCUGGCGGCGUGCUUAACACAUGCAAGUCGAACGGAAAGGCCCCUUUGGGGGUACUCGAGUGGCGAACGGGUGAGUAACACGUGAGUAACCUGCCCUUGACUUCGGGAUAACUUCAGGAAACUGGGGCUAAUACCGGAUAGGAAUCCUUGCUGCAUGGUGGGGGUUGGAAAGCUUCGGCGGUUGUGGAUGGACUCGCGGCUUAUCAGCUUGUUGGUGGGGUAGUGGCUUACCAAGGCUUUGACGGGUAGCCGGCCUGAGAGGGCGACCGGCCAAAUUGGGACUGAGAGACGGCCCAGACUCCUACGGGGGGCAGCAGUGGGGAAUAUUGCACAAAGGGCGGAAGCCUGAUGCAGCAACGCCGCGUGCGGGAUGACGGCCUUCGGGUUGUAAAACGCUUUCAGCAGGGGCGAAGCUUGUGGUGACGGUACCUGCAGAAGAAGCAACGGCUAACUACGUG
RNAcentral lists this ribosomal RNA (465 nucleotides) under uncultured bacterium. RNAcentral describes it as "partial 16S ribosomal RNA". It matches the Rfam family "Bacterial small subunit ribosomal RNA", at positions 28 to 507 of the family's 1533-position model. The record is from RNAcentral.